CGCAAAACAAAGGGAAGCAAAGCCGCGAGGCGGAGCGAAUCCCCAAAAGGCGUCUCAGUUCGGAUUGCAGGCUGCAACUCGCCUGUAUGAAGUCGGAAUUGCUAGUAAUCGUGGAUCAGCAUGCCACGGUGAAUACGUUCCCGGGCCUUGUACACACCGCCCGUCACACCAUGAGAGCCGGGAACACCCGAAGUCCGUAGUCUAACCUAUAUGGAGGACGCGGCCGAAGGUGGGUUUGGUAAUUGGGGUGAAGUCGUAACAAGGUAGC
RNAcentral lists this ribosomal RNA (268 nucleotides) under uncultured bacterium. Its description in RNAcentral is "partial 16S ribosomal RNA". It matches the Rfam family "Bacterial small subunit ribosomal RNA", at positions 1234 to 1500 of the family's 1533-position model. The record is from RNAcentral.